This 441-nucleotide ribosomal RNA is filed under the name uncultured bacterium. RNAcentral describes it as "partial 16S ribosomal RNA". It matches the Rfam family "Bacterial small subunit ribosomal RNA", at positions 339 to 795 of the family's 1533-position model. The record is from RNAcentral.
CUACGGGCUGCACCAGUGGGGAAUAUUGGGCAAUGGGCGCAAGCCUGACCCAGCAACGCCGCGUGAGGGAAGAAGGUUUUCGGAUUGUAAACCUCUGUCCUUGGGGACGAAGAAGUGACGGUACCCAAGGAGGAAGCUCCGGCUAACUACGUGCCAGCAGCCGCGGUAAUACGUAGGGAGCAAGCGUUGUCCGGAAUUACUGGGCGUAAAGGGUGCGUAGGCGGCAUAUUAAGUCAGGUGUGAAAUACUCGGGCUCAACCCGAGGGGUGCAUUUGAAACUGAUAAGCUUGAGUGUGAGAGAGGAAAGUGGAAUUCCUAGUGUAGCGGUGGAAUGCGUAGAUAUUAGGAGGAACACCAGUGGCGAAGGCGACUUUCUGGCUCAUAACUGACGCUGAGGCACGAAAGCGUGGGGAGCAAACAGGAUUAGAUACCCGCAUAGUC